Molecule: long non-coding RNA, 1307 nt
Filed under: Cricetulus griseus (Chinese hamster)
Lineage: Eukaryota; Metazoa; Chordata; Mammalia; Rodentia; Cricetidae
Description: lncRNA (ENSCGRG00015034064.1)
Source: RNAcentral
CAGAGAGAGCAGGAGAUGGACAUGCCAUGCUAACAAAGGGAAGGAGACAAAGCCUCAUUAGCGUGAUGCUUUGGAGCAGCAAAGAGAUGGCUGGAUGACUGGAGAGGCUGUGUCUGUAGCCAAACAGGGUGGAGUUGCUACCCCAGCAGUGAGGCUUAGGGGGCCAGAGGCAGCAUAUGCCACCUGGCUGGACUUCAGUAGAGGAGGGGACCUGACAGCAGCUGUGGCCCAGCAUCAAGGGACAGGUGAAGUGACUCUUCAGUCCUGUCUGUCGAGGCCCUGGAGGCUGAGGGCAGAAGUCUCCAGAGCUCACCGCUCCCGGACAAGGGGGAUGGCUGUUGAGUGGGCCUUGCCCUUGGAGACUCUAUUCUACAAGCAGCUUUGGACUCCAUCUUGAAUGUGGCUUCCGGGUGGACCCUGCAGCUGCACCAUCUGCCAGGUACCAUCCACCCAGCACAGACCGACAAAUGACUUAUUCCACGUUACAAGUUUGUUAGGGUGAAUUGAGGCUAUAGGGGGCAUGUGAGUGUAGGUUGUAGGCUGUAGGGGGCACAUGGGUGUAUUGAGAUCCUAUCAGGGAAUCAUCAAACACACCAGGUCAGGGAAAAUACGACUCCUCUGGACACCAUAGUGAUGUUACCUGACAGUGCAAUGACAUGGCUCCACACCAACCUGUCAUUUACCCGGUGUGUACCUCAAGGACCAGCAAGCAGAGGACUGCCUGAUUCUGAUGCAGCCUAUUGCCUGGCUGCCUGUCCACCAUCUGGACCUGAACUUGCCAUUUCUUUCUCUGGACCUCGAUCUGCUUUUUUCAUCAUAGCUGGACAGUUUCACUCUCAACCCUUGACUUCAGCGGUGGCGGUGACAACCCCCUCUUUGCACUGGUGUGGUGUGAUGUCUUAUCUGUCUGCCCAUCCAUCCAUCCAUCCAUCCAUCCAUCCAUCCUAUGUAUAUAAGUGCUCUAUUGGCAUAUACAUGGACAUACCCAGAAGAGGGCAUCAGAUCCCAUUAUAGGUGGUUGCGAACCACCGUGUGUUUGCUGGGAAUUGAACUCAGGUCCUCUAAGAGAGCAGACAGUGCUCUUAACUGCUGAGCCCGCUCUCCAGCCCAAGGUAUCUUAUCAAUACAGACUCUCAGGCCACUUCUGAAGUGUUUGGAACUCUGCUGUAGCCUCUUUAACUGUAUUCUUUCUGUAAAGAUGCAUACAUAGACACAGACAUCUCUCCUAUGUGCCUUCUGCUGUGUAAUAUGAGAGUUUACAUUAGUAAUUAAGAUCAGAAAAAGGAAUCUGCAUUUGCCUCCCCAGG